GGAGAGAUGGCUCAGUGGUUGAGAGCACUGGCUCUUCUUCCAGAGGCCCUGGGUUCAAUUCCCAGCACCC
Non-coding RNA from Cricetulus griseus (Chinese hamster), 70 nucleotides. NCBI's taxonomy places the organism in Eukaryota, Metazoa, Chordata, Mammalia, Rodentia, Cricetidae. The record is from Rfam.